This 460-nucleotide ribosomal RNA is filed under the name uncultured bacterium. Its description in RNAcentral is "partial 16S ribosomal RNA". It matches the Rfam family "Bacterial small subunit ribosomal RNA", at positions 338 to 795 of the family's 1533-position model. The record is from RNAcentral.
CCUACGGGGGGCUGCAGUGAGGAAUAUUGGUCAAUGGACGAGAGUCUGAACCAGCCAAGUCGCGUGAAGGAUGACUGCCCUAUGGGUUGUAAACUUCUUUUAUAUAGGAAUAAAAUGUUCCACGUGUGGGAUUUUGUAUGUACUAUAUGAAUAAGGAUCGGCUAACUCCGUGCCAGCAGCCGCGGUAAUACGGAGGAUCCGAGCGUUAUCCGGAUUUAUUGGGUUUAAAGGGAGCGUAGGUGGAUUGUUAAGUCAGUUGUGAAAGUUUGCGGCUCAACCGUAAAAUUGCAGUUGAUACUGGCAGUCUUGAGUACAGUAGAGGUGGGCGGAAUUCGUGGUGUAGCGGUGAAAUGCUUAGAUAUCACGAAGAACUCCGAUUGCGAAGGCAGUUUACUAAACUGCAACUGACACUGAGGCUCGAAAGUGUGGGUAGCAAACAGGAUUAGAUACCCGAGUAGUC